GUAGCUCAGAAGUAGAGCACCUGCCUAGCAUGCAUGAGGCCUUGGGUUCAAUCCCAGC
Molecule: transfer RNA, 58 nt
Filed under: Fukomys damarensis (Damara mole-rat)
Lineage: Eukaryota; Metazoa; Chordata; Mammalia; Rodentia; Bathyergidae
Rfam family: tRNA
About the family: Transfer RNA (tRNA) molecules are approximately 80 nucleotides in length. Their secondary structure includes four short double-helical elements and three loops (D, anti-codon, and T loops). Further hydrogen bonds mediate the characteristic L-shaped molecular structure. tRNAs have two regions of fundamental functional importance: the anti-codon, which is responsible for specific mRNA codon recognition, and the 3' end, to which the tRNAs corresponding amino acid is attached (by aminoacyl-tRNA synthetases). tRNAs cope with the degeneracy of the genetic code in two manners: having more than one tRNA (with a specific anti-codon) for a particular amino acid; and 'wobble' base-pairing, i.e. permitting non-standard base-pairing at the 3rd anti-codon position.
Source: Rfam by way of RNAcentral